CUUGAACGCUGGCGGCAGGCCUAACACAUGCAAGUCGAGCGGCUCGGCGGUCGGGGGAGUGAGGCCUAGGAAUCUGCAAGGUGGUGGGGGAGACCGUCCGGAACCGGGCGCUAAUACCACAUACUAUAAGCAGAGCAUCGGUCGUAUUAGCUAGGUGGUGGGGUAAAGGCCUAGCAAGGCGACGAUCCGUAACGGGUCUAAGAGGAUGAUCAGGCACGCUGGAACGGAGACACGGUCCAGACUCCGACGGGAGGCAGCAGUGGGGAAAAUUGGACAAUGGGCGAAAGCCUGAUCCAGCCAUGCCGGGUGUGUGAAGAAGGUCUUCGGAUUGUAAAGCACUUUAAGUUGGGAGGCGUUACCCACAGAAGAAGCACCGGCUAACUACGUGCCAGGAGCGGCGGUAAUAC
RNAcentral lists this ribosomal RNA (407 nucleotides) under uncultured bacterium. RNAcentral's name for it is "partial 16S ribosomal RNA". It matches the Rfam family "Bacterial small subunit ribosomal RNA", at positions 29 to 526 of the family's 1533-position model. The record is from RNAcentral.